UCGAUACUAAAUGAAUAUAAUCUCAUAUAUGAAUAUAAAAAAUAAAAACACUAUAAAUUUAAAUUUAGAUAUGAAUUUUGACUUUACCUGCUCAAUUGAUUUUAUAUUAAUAUAUAUAUAUGUAUUUAAUUUUGUAUUUAAAUUUAUAUUUUAAAAAUUUAAAUUUAAUAUAAUAUAUUUUAAAAUAUUGUAAAGAAAAAAAAAUAAUUAUUUCCGGUUUGUAUUUAUAUUCAGUUUCAAAUUUUUCUGAUCAGAAUCAGAUUUAGAUGUAUAUUUUUAAAAUCUAUCGAAUUUAGUUUCGAAUUCAAAUUUUGAAUUUCAUAAACAGAUU
Molecule: long non-coding RNA, 331 nt
Filed under: Ananas comosus (pineapple)
Lineage: Eukaryota; Viridiplantae; Streptophyta; Magnoliopsida; Poales; Bromeliaceae
Description: long non-coding RNA (ACOM_LNC018571)
Source: RNAcentral